Molecule: ribosomal RNA, 485 nt
Filed under: uncultured bacterium
Lineage: Bacteria
Description: SSU rRNA
Rfam family: Bacterial small subunit ribosomal RNA
Source: RNAcentral
AGGACGAACGCUGGCGGCGUGCCUAACACAUGCAAGUGGAGCGACGAACCAGGCUUCGGCCUGGGGCAGAGCCGCGAACGGGUGAGUAACACGUGGGUAACCUGCCCUGAUGAUUGGGACAACCCGAGGAAACUCGGGCUAAUACCAAAUGUGCCCCUUGGCCUCAAGGCCUCUGGGGAAAGGAAGCUUCGGCCUCCGCAUCGGGAUGGGCCCGCGGCCCAUUAGCUUGUUGGUGAGGUAAUGGCUCACCAAGGCUACGAUGGGUAGCUGGUCUGAGAGGACGAUCAGCCACACUGGGACUGAGACACGGCCCAGACUCCUACGGGAGGCAGCAGUGGGGAAUCUUGCGCAAUGGGCGAAAGCCUGACGCAGCAACGCCGCGUGAGGGAUGAAGGUCUUCGGGUUGUAAACCUCUUUCGAGCAGGGACGAUUGUGACGGUACCUGCAGAAGAAGCUCCGGCCAACUACGUGCCAGCAGCCGCGGU